RNAcentral lists this ribosomal RNA (455 nucleotides) under uncultured bacterium. RNAcentral's name for it is "bacterial LSU rRNA". It matches the Rfam family "Bacterial large subunit ribosomal RNA", at positions 2198 to 2649 of the family's 2925-position model. The record is from RNAcentral.
UACCACUCUGAUCGUAUUGGCUGUCUAACCUCGGACCGUGAUCCGGUCUAGGGACAGUGCCUGGUGGGUAGUUUAACUGGGGCGGUUGCCUCCUAAAGAGUAACGGAGGCCGCUCCAAAGGUUCCCCUCAGCCUGGUUGGCAAUCAGGUAUCGAGUGUAAGUGCACAAGGGAGCUUGACUGUGAGACCGACGGUCGAGCAGGGACGAAAGUCGGAACUAGUGAUCCGGCGCAUGUUUGUGGAAACGGCGUCGCUCAACGGAUAAAAGGUACCCCGGGGAUAACAGGCUGAUCUUGCCCAAGAGUCCAUAUCGACGGCAUGGUUUGGCACCUCGAUGUCGGCUCGUCGCAUCCUGGGGCUGGAGUAGGUCCCAAGGGUUGGGCUGUUCGCCCAUUAAAGCGGUACGCGAGCUGGGUUUAGAACGUCGUGAGACAGUUCGGUCCCUAUCCGCCACGC